Molecule: non-coding RNA, 22355 nt
Organism: Podarcis lilfordi (Lilford's wall lizard)
Lineage: Eukaryota; Metazoa; Chordata; Lepidosauria; Squamata; Lacertidae
Source: the annotation of a GenBank genome assembly
GCCAAUGGCAACAGCUGAGGAGGCAUCACCAUAACCUCCUUAGACCUCACAAUGGUGGAUGCAGCUCAACAGCCCUUAUCUGUAUUGGUUGGUAAAGGUAAAGGACCCCUGGAUGGGGUUCCAGCACUCAUCUCGCUUUCAGGCCGAGGGAGCCGGCGUUUGUUCACAGACAGCUUUCUAGGUUAUGUGGCCCACAGGACUAAACCGCUUCUGCCGCAACGGGACACCGUGAAGGAAACCAGAGCGCACGGAAACGCUGUUUACCUUCCCGCCGGAGUUGUACCUAUUUAUCUACUUGCACUGGUGUGCUUUCGAACUGCUAGGUUGGCAGGAGCUGGGACAGAGCAACGGGAGCUCACCCCGCCGUGGGGAUUCGAACCGCCGACCUUCUGAUCAGCAAGCCCAAGAGGCUCAGUGGUUUAGACCACAGCGCCACCACAGGAGAGGAAAGUGCACUUGGGUCCUACUUUUGGCAUUCCCACCAGCUUCUGGUUGGCCUUUUUGAGAACAGGAUGCUGGACUGGAUGCCCCAUUGGCCUGAUCCUGCAGGCUGCUCUUAUGUUCUUGCUCCCUAGCUCAUGCUGGUCCCCUCUUCGGGUUCAGACAUUUCUUGGGGUCCUGCUUUUGGCUUCCCCAAUCCACUAGGAGCCUCCCUCUGGUCCUCCGACACUCUGAGCUCCUCCCCCUCUUCCUCAGGAUCGGUCCAUCCCCUCACAAGGCCUGCCAAGAAAAAUAAAGAAUUUAUUCAUGUAUGCUACAACAGCGGCAAGAGUCUUGAUAGCACAAGGGAUGGAAGAACGAGGAAACCCCGACAAAAGAACAAUGGCAAGAGAAAUUGAUGAACUAUGCAGAACUGGCAAAACUGACAUACAAACUGCGAGAUAAGGACAACUGUGACUUCAAAGAAGAAUGGGAACUUUUUACAAAUUACUUAAAAAGACAACAAAGGUAAAUUAGAUAACCAAGAGACGUGUGGUGAAUGCGGUGGAAGUCUUUUAUAAUAUUUUAACUAGGAUUUAUAUAUCAUAAUGUUUGAAGUAUGAAUUUGGAAUAAUUGAUUAUGAAAAGUAUUUUUUCUCUUCAUUCUUUUUCUUGUUUCUUUUAUCUUUUGUCUUUCUUUUCUAGUCUGCAUUCUGGGAAAUAGUGUAGAUAAAUGUUUUAAUGUAUGGUUAUGCAUUGUUUCUAUUUCUUUUUUUCUUUUCAUAUUUUUGUAACAUUUAAUAAAAUUUAAUAAAAAAAAAAAAGACAACAAAAUGAAUUGGACUCCUUGGCAGGUUUUGAAUAAACAUACACAAAUUUAUUGACUGUUUACAUAGUAGACACAUAAUUUAAGGAUUUAUACAAUUUUGCAGUAUGCAGAGAAUAACAUGUGCUGAGAAAUCAGAGAGAGGAGCUGAGGGAAGUCUUGGGGGGGUUGAUGGGGGGAAGGGGGGAAAUAAUGAAUAUGAUAUGUUUUGAUAUUUUGUUAUGUUGAAAUUGUUAAUAAAGGAUUGGUCCAUCCCCUCCAUGACUUCGCCAUAGGGUUCAGGACAUGAAUGGACCGGCCUCCACUCAGUUGCUUUCCCCCCACCCCUCACAGGACCACAUCCGUGGAGCAGGUGCUUGCUGGGAACAUCUCCCGUACGCCACGAAGAACCGCCAGACCCAGGCGACCGUAAUUUCUAAGCACAAAGAGGACUGAGUACCUCGACACAUCAGAGGAGCCCCUUGCUUCCCAUGGUAAAACCAGGAACAGAUUCCAGGUGUAGCUUUGUGAUUAUUAUAUACCAAGAAGUCGGCCAUCUGUGGAUGGUGUGUUCCUGCAUCGUUUUCUUUCUUCCGUGGAUGAGAAAGGGCGAUUUGGGGGCGGGGGUGGGGGGGUGGGAACCAUUAAGUGUUAUUAGGUGAAGAGAAUUUGGAUUCCUGUUCCAAACUUCUCCCUUCAGGCUAGGAACAAUUUCCUGCCGCUCUUCCCUCCCCCAACCCCGCCAGACACUUUGAGAUGAGGAAAGGACUUCAAAGAGGCGUUCUCAAAGCACACCCUCGCCGCCCUCCCCCCCCGAAAAACGACAGGCAUCCGUUAGCGAAAGUAUCCAUGUUGUGAUACGCCACAGAUUGCUGCGGUUUGCAAACCAGGCCCCGGGGUCACGAACGGCUGGAUCUGCAGUUAAUGCGACUUGACAGCUCGUAUUAUAUUCUCUCACUCAUGGAUGGUAGAGCCAGGUCCCGUUACAUACGGAGGAAAUCCCUCCGGGUCAAGGUGGAAGAAACAUAGCGGAGAGAUCCCUAUUCCCUGGGAAGCCAUUACCCUCCAGAGCACCGUACGGCACACACGUGCUCGUACGCCUUCUGCCUGUGCCAAGAGAAGGAAUUAGCAGCAAAGAUUGAGCCCGGGCAGCAAGUGCGGAAAUGCAAGAGGUGUCGCCGGUGGCAGAAGCAGCCCAGCAUUUUCCAGCCCGAGGGCUGCAUUCACUUCUGAACAUGGCUCAGUACCGCACGAUACCUCAAGGACCGCCUCUUUCCAUAUGAACCUACCCGGACCCUGAGAUCAUCUUCUGAGGCCCUCCUUCGUGUGCCUCCUCCUCGAAAGGUCCAGAGGGUGGCAACACGAGAACGGGGCCUUCUCUGCAGUGGCUCCCCGUCUGUGGAAUGCUCUCCCCCCAGGAUGUUCACCUGGCACCUUCAUUAUACACCUUUAGAUGCCAGGCAAAAAUGUUUCUUUAUAACGAGGCCUUUGGUUGAUCUAUUGUCUUUGAUCAUGGGGUUUUCUUGGCAGGGAUACUGGAGUGGCUUGCCGGUUCCUGCUCCAGGUGGAUCACGUUUGGUCAAAACUCUCCACUAUGACCUGUCCAUCUUGGGUGGACCUGCACAGCAUAGCUCAUAGCUUCUCUGAGUUAUUCAAGCCCCUUCACCAUGGCAAGGCAGUGAUCCAUGAAGGAGGAGACUCUUGAGAGUCCCAUGGACUGCAAGAAGAUCAAACCUAUCCAUUCUUAAGGAAAUCAGCUCUGAGUGCUCACUGGAAGGACAGAUGGUGAAGCUGAGGCUCCAGUACUUUGGCCACCUCAUGAGAAGAGAAGACUCCCUGGAAAAGACCCUGAUGUUGGGAAAGAAGGGGAACAAGGAGAAGGGGACGACAGAGGACGAGAUGGUUGGACAGUGUUCUUGAAGCUACCAGCAUGAGUUUGACCAAACUGCGGGAGGCAGUGGAAGACAGGAGUGCCUGGCGUGCUCUGGUCCAGGGGGUCACGAAGAGUCGGACACGACUAAACAACUAAACAACAACAAAUUGGUUGAUCUAAGAGAUGCAGGUGGUGCUGUGGGUUAAACCACAGAGCCUAGGGCUUGCCGAUCAGAAGGUCGGCGGGUCAAAUCCCUGCGACAGAGUGAGCUCCCGUUGCUCGAUCCCUGCUCCUGCCCACCUAGCAGUUCAAAAGCACGUCAAAGUGCAAGUAGAUAAAUAGGUACUGCUCCGGUGGGAAGGUAAACGGCGUUUCCGUGCGCUGCUCUGGUUCGCCAGAAGCGGCUUAAUCAUGCUGGUCACAUGACCUGGAAGCUGUACGCCGGCUCCCUCAGCCAAUAAAGCGAGAUGAGCGCCGCAACCCCAGAGUCGGUCACGACUGGACCUAAUGCUCAGGGGUCCCUUUACCUUUACCUUUUGGUUGAUCUUAUUGACAUCCAACACCCUUUUAGAAUGUUGCCUUUUGGGGGGAGGGGUUAUUGGGUUACUGCUUUUGGUUUGAUUUUAUAUGUUGGGGUCUUGUUGUGAACCUUCCUGAGACCUUCGGGUAUAGGUUGGUGUAUAAGUUGAAUAAAUAAUGAUAAUGAUGAUGGGAGUUGUAGUCUAGCAAUAUUAGGAGGGCUACAGGUUCUCCCAUCUCUGCUACUGACGUAGGACUGGAUUUUGGAGAGAAGGACUUUCAGAUGAGCUUCAGCCCUGGUUAAAAACUUCUUCUGUACUCCGCUUGGAGGUCCGUGAAGCUGCCCCAGGGUCCUUUGCAAGGGAUCUUAACACACUUUGGAAAGAAAAUGGAAAAAAAUGCCAUGGGGUUUGUGGGGAGCGACGGCGGGCAAGGUAUAUUCCAGCUUCACACAGUAGAAUAGUGUUUUCCAUUAAACUUGAGGCUGUUCAUUCUUUUAAUGAGCUGAGUACUGCAGUCCCGUACACAUUUCAGGUAACAGGAUCUCCCUCUGUACGUUUCUUUUUUCUUAACAGUGUCUGAUUUAGGGAUCUGCAAGGCUGUUUCCACGAUUUCCAAGUUAUUCCACCUUCGGUGACUCCUGUGAAGUCUGCAACAGAGCUCCCCUGGAAAAACUAUUGAAAAGCAAACCCGCUUUCACGUCCCCUAUAAAAUUCGGUUCUGUUCAGGGUAAUUCUCCAUUCUAGACAUUCAAAACCUUUACCGAAUUGUUAAAAGCCAUUUAUCCACCGUGCGAUUAAAGGACAGAAUAUUUUGGCAAAGGCAUAGAUCUUUCCUUCAGACGGGGAGUAUUUUGUCUACCUCAUUUACAGCCUGUACAAAGCCAUAUUUUUUAACAUUUGAGACUCCGCUAUUUUUCCAUUUUCGUUCCUACCUACCCUGACCCAUAAACCAGUUUUACUUCCCUUGGUGCCACAGCCUGUCAGUCCAGAUUAGAAAGUUUGGGGACUCGAACAACCCACUAAUAUUGACACCCACAUUUCUUUUCCCCAUCCAACGUUUAUGACCCAACAGCGGAUUUCUUUCACUUUUUGAAAGAAUCACUGUGCCAAACACGAUUGUGGAAGAAAGGCUGGGUGGUUGUUGUUUAGUCGUUUAGUUGUGUCCGACUCUUCGUGACCCCCUGGACCAAAGCACGCCAGGCACUCCUGUCUUCCACUGCCUCCCCCAGUUUGCUCAAACUCAUGCUGGCAGCUUCGAGAACACUGUCCAACCAUCUCGUCCUCUGUCGUCCCCUUCUCCUUGUGCCCUCCAUCUUUCCCAACAUCAGGGUCUUUUCCAGGGAGUCUUCUCUUCUCAUGAGGUGGCCAAAGUCUUGGAGCCUCAGCUUCAGGAUCUGUCCUUCCAGUGAGCACUCAUGGCUGAUUUCCUUCAGAAUGGCUGUGUUUGAUCUUCUUGCAGUCCAUGGGACUCUCAAAAGUCUCCUCCAGCACCAUAAUUCAAAAGCAUCCAUUCUUCGGCGAUUUUUAUUUUAUUUUAUUUUUUAUUUUAUUUUUUGUUAAAUAUGAAAAAGAGGCCUUAUGAAAAUUCACCAGCAUUUUAGUGCAAAUUGUAUACAGACGUUUGUAUUACUCUGCAAGCAAUCUUCCCUAAUACAUUUUAAAAUCUUGUUUUCACACAUACUUGCAUUUUUAUACACACACUUCACUGCAGGAUAGACUUUUCUGUCCACAUUGCUUGCCUGGAGAACUGCAUUGCAAAAUUCAGAGAAGUGCGAGUUUUGAAGCACAGCCGUGUUUCAAUUCUCAUAUUAUUUCAGACACAGACUUACCAAGCUAAACAUUGACCAUUUAUAAAAAUAAUAGCAGAUUUUAAUUCCUCACGCCCCAAAACAUAUUUUUAAGACCCCCUCAAUGAAGAAAUUUGCAAAAAUUAAGUUUCACACCCCCCUAAAAUGGCAUGCUAGUAAUGACUCGUGAGUGGCCUACCUUGCAGAAAAAAAUAAUUUUUGCAAUUUCACAGUGCUGCAGAAUUUAGCAUCCACUAGCAGAACAUGGGUGCAGAAUUUCGAAUUCUGUAAAGCAACACAAGUCUUUCAGAACUCAGAGCAGAUACAGCAUUAGUAAGGGAGUUGAAUCUUCUGUUUUUAAUGACUGAUGUUUUAAUGUAUUUUUAAUCAUUUGUUGGAAGCUGCCCAGAGUGGGCAGGGUAGAAAUAAGCUAUUAUUAUUGUUUGUUUGUUUGUUGUUGUUGUUGCUAUACUUCUUUAUCCAAAGUGUUCAAUAUCCUUUUUGUUUAACAAAUAGAAUUGGGGUAGGUAGGUGGGUGUAUGUUGUGGAUGAAAAGAAUGGAUUUUUAUUUUCUUUAGAAAAUGAUCUCACCUAACUGUAAACGUCCCCCAAUAGUCGCUCGUAGAUAAAUCACUGGUGCUUAUUUUAUUAGUGGUUUUAAAUACAAUAGCAGCAUUUUUAUGAUUUGGCCCUCGACUCCAUUCCCUGCCCUGACACAGCACCUCUCCAUCGGAGUUGGCUGCGGCCGUCAAACAAGGCUGGAUCCCAUUACAAACGCAGGAAAGGAAGAACACCUUACGAAAGCGAAGGGAAAAGAAGAAGAAAUUUGUUUGUUGCAGAGAAUCCAGCCGCUUAAGAGCCCUUAAAAGAAACCUUGUGUGCGUUCCAACUUGUCGGCUGAGAACAACCCGAAACUAUUCCAUCUGUGCUGAGGCAUAGAAAUGCCUUAUCUGUUUGGCCCCGGAUCAGAGACUCGACAAUCUGGCUAAGAAGGGCUGGCAGAUCUGGUGAGACAGCCAGGUGGAACGUGCUUGCUAUUUAAUUAAAAGGGCUGGCCUUAGAAGUGAAGAGAUUCUGUAGAAAUGGCUGGUCCUGAUUGCUUUGCUUAGUAUGGAUUUCCCCAACCUGGUUCCUACCAGAUGUAGGAAGAAUGUAAGGACAGAAGGAGAGCCCUUUUGGAUCAGAACAAACUCCCAUCUGGCUAAGGUCUGCCCUCCAUAGUUAGAGGCAUCAGUGCUUCUGAAUACCAGUUUAGCUUGCCGAUCAGAAGGUCAGCGGUUCAAAUCCCCAUGACAGGGUGAGCUCCUGUUGCUCUGUCCCAGCUCCUGCCAACCUAGCAGUUCGAAAGCACACCAGUGCAAGUAGAUAAAUAGGUACCACUGUGGUGGGAAGGUAAACAGUGUUUCCACACACUCUGGCUUCUGUCUGUGGGAUGGUUUACUUUAGCAGUUAAACAAUCCCCUUUAUAAGUUUAUGCAGCGAUCAGCUUGUUUCCACUGAGUUUCCAUUGAGCACAUGGAUUGAUAAUAUGGACAGAUUAGCUACAUAUGAAUGAAUUACAUGUCGGCACAAAAUACGAAUGGAUAAAUAUGAAGAAAUCUGGAACGAAUAUUUAAGCGAUAAGGUGGAUAGUGGUGGGAAGUAGGGGGGAGGAGAGAGAGGUGAGGAAAUAUUGUUUAAAAAGGUGUAGUCAUAGGUAUACCAGUGUAUUCAAAUCUGAAUUGUCAAAUUGUGUUAUUAGUGCUAUUAUGGUUUUUGUUGUAUGUGUCUUUUGCAGUUGUUGUUUGUAUCGAAAAAAUGAUUAAAUAAAACAAAAACAACAAUCCCCUUUAUAAGUUUAUGCAGCGAUCAGCUUGUUGCUGACUCGUCUGAGUUCUACUAGCAAAGAUGCCUUCCUGGUUAAAAAUCCCCUUGAAUCCCUCUUAAAGAGUACACACAUAAAUCUGAUUCAUGUUAAUAUAAAACUAUUUUCCUCUCAGAUUCAUUCAGGUUUACAGAACCAUGCCUGAAAGCAGGCUUAGGUUACAUAACGAGCAAAUGAACUAUACCAGAGGGACGUUGGUCCUGAGGCGACUGCAACUGAGCAGUUAUCUUUCAAAACUACAAGCAACUGACAAAGUGGUUGUCACAGCGACUGGUUAGAACAUGGAGGCCGUUAGUCCUCUGUCGGAAUGCUGCACUUGACGGCACCUUUACAUCCCACACUGUCAUGGUGUUCUGUUGCGCCAGAAGUGGCUUAGUCCUGCUGGCCACACUACUGAUUCAAAGUGUUGGUGUUGACCUUUAAAGCCCUAAACGGCCUCGGCCCAGUAUACCUGAAGGAGCGUCUCCACCCCCAUCGUUCUGCCCGGACGCUGAGGUCCAGCGCUGAGGGCCUUCUGGCGGUUCCCUCAUUGCGAGAAGCAAAGCUACAGGGAACCAGGCAGAGGGCCUUCUCGGUAGUGGCGCCCGCCCUGUGGAACGCCCUCCCAUCAGAUGUCAAAGCGAUAAAUAACUACCUGACAUUUAGAAGGCAUCUUAAGGCAGCCCUGUUCAGGGAAGCUUUUAAUCUGUGAUAUUUUACUGUAUUUUUUGUUUCUAUGGAAGCCGCCCAGAGUGGCUGGGGAAACCCAGCCAGAUGGGCGGGGUACAAAUAAUAAAUUAUUAUUAUUAUUAUUAUUAUUAUUACCUGGAAAGCUGUCUGUGGACAAACGCCGGCUCCCUCAGCCUGAAAGCGAGAUGAGCGCCGCAACCGCAUAGUCACCUUUGACUGGACUUAACUGUCCAGGGGUCCUUUACCUUUACCUUUUACACCUGUUCUGCCCUCCAAAGUUGGUGGCAUCAGUGCUUCUGAAUACCAGUUGCUGGAAACCACUGGAGGGGAGAGCGUUGCUCUUGUGCUUGUAUCCUGUUUGGGAGUUUUUCACAAGCAUCUGGGUGAUGCCCAUGAGAACAGAAUGCUGGAGUAGAUGGGCCAUUAGCCUAAUAAUACCCCAUCAUCUGACUAAGUUGCCCCAGCCACUCUGGAUGGCUUCCAACAUAAACAUAAUAAAACAAAAUGCUUUCCUAGACAGGGUUGCCUUCAGAUGUCUUCUAAAGCUUGUAUAGUUACAUAUCUGCUUGGCUCGAGGGUCGCCAUAAUGCCAUACUGUAAGGAGUGCGUACAGGAGUUGGGCCCUGUGACCAGUAGGGCUUCGCAGGACUGGGGCUUUCCUAAGUUUGUUCUGGAGAGGCAAGGUGCAGCCGCACAGGUGAGGCUGCUUGGUAACUCGCUGCACCUGAUGGCAAGAGCCGGAAGGGAUAUAAGGUCAGCAUUUCCCUUCGGCUCUUUGCCACAGCAACACGCUUCCUGCCUUGCUGUGUUUGGCUCCUUGCUUCCUGAUCCUCGGACCUCGACUUCUUGACUCCUUGCUUCUUGAUCCUCAGUCCCUUGACUUUGUGACUCCCUGCUUCCUGACCCUCGGACCCCUGGCUUCUGGACUCUCGUUCCUGCUCCCACCCCGCCAUCUUGCCCCGGUCCCAAAGUCCUCAGCCAGGACUUUGAUCGCCCGUAGACCAGACAGUGACACAUACCCUCCAAUAUUUCUUCGAUUAAAAUAAGGACGUCGUAAGGAAAAGCGGGACAUUCCGGGAUCAAAUAAAAAAACUGGGAUGGCGUCUGUAAAUCCAGGACUGUCCCUGGAAAAUAGGGACACUUAGAGGGUCUGAAAUGGGCCAUUGCCCGGAUCCUGCAGGAUCUUCGUAGGUCCUUGUGUUAUGGUUAAAGUCCUCAAAGCACUGGUGUUGUUAACAGCUGCUUGAAGGUUUCUCUUUAACCUUUUCUCCCCAACACACAGCUCUCCCUCCUCUUUGGAAGAUAAGCUGCUGUACAGGGUCAAACUGUCAGUCCAUCAACUAGCAGUGGCCAGAGGCUCAGGCAAAUCUCUUCCCCAACCACAUCAGGAACUGCUGGGGCUUGAACCCAAGACUUUUCCAUGCAAGGCAGAUGCUUUCUCAAUGAGCUGCAGCCAUCCUCCUCGCUCCAUCCGCCCUGUAGCCUGCAGUCUUGGCAAGGAGUCCCUCGCAGGUUAGGCUCCGCGAUCUGUAAACACUCAAGUAAUUAUAGCAUUAAAACAAGAGACACAGAUUACGGGGGUCCCGAUAGCAUCACUCUCACCUGGAGUAAUGAGAAAGGGAGUUGGGGCUUUUAUGAGCACAGCCACCAUUAUGAGCCUGAAGAGGUCUGCAGGUUGUGAAAUUGCCUGCCUUGUCAUCUUCGGGACAGCUCAGGAUUAUUAAAGAAAACAGUGCAGGAACGCAGGGAGCUGACUUUGUAACGCUGAGCCAGAACGUCGGUCUGUUUAGCUUAGUAUUUGCUACUCUGAAUGACAACCAGAGGCCUACGCCAGUGGCCAAAAUUGUAGAAACAUUUUGGGGAAAGUGUAGUUCUGAGGUUUGAUGGCUCAUAACACCACUUAUUUUGGAAUAAUGCCAUAAAAUUAUAUAUCAGGGGAAAGAUAAUUUAAUGAAGACUGUAAUGCAACAAAGUUUGUUCAAUUAUCUGUAUUCUCUCAAAAGUUAUAGCCAAAUAACCAGAAAAAGAAAGCACAAUUUGCUUAGGUUGAUACGCAGUAGCUCCCCCCCCCCCAGCUUGUUAAAUGGCUUGGGAUGCAUAUACCUAAAGGGGCAACUCUCCCGAUACCAGUUUUUUAGCUUUCUUUGCCCUCCCCUUAACAGCAUUAAGAACAUGGUCUGUUUGCUUCUAGGAGAAUGGUGACGCAAUGCCACUUCCUUUUAUAAACUGUACACACAGGGGUAACUGUGCCCCUGAAGGACCAGGUGCGCAGCCUGGGAGUCAUUUUGGACUCACAGGUGUCCAUGGAGGCGCAUGUCAAUUUUGUGUCCAAGGUGGCUGUCUAUCAACUCCAUCUGGUACGCAGGAUGAGACCCUACCUGCCCGCAGAGUGUCUCUCCAGAGUGGUGCAUGCUCUAGUUAUCUCUCUCUUGGAUUACUGCAAUGCGCUCUAUGUGGGGCCACCUUUGAAGGUGACACGGAAACUACAACUAAUCCAGAAAGCGGCAGCUAGACUGGUGACUGGGAGCGGCUGCUGAGACCACAUAACACCGGUCUUGAAAGACCUACAUUGGCUCCCAGUACAUUUCCAAGCAUAAUUCAAAGUGUUGGUGCUGACCUUUAAAGCCCUAAAUGGCCUCAGUCCAGUAUAUCUGAAGGAGCGUCUCCACCCCCAUGGUUCUACCCGGAUACUGAGGUCCAGCGCCAAGGGUCUUCUGGUGGUUUCCUCUCUGUGAGAAGCCAAGCUACAGGGAACCAGGCAGAGGGCCUUCUUGGUGGUGGCACCCGCCCUGUGGAACGCCCUCCCACCAGAUGUCAAAGAGAACAAAAACCACCAGACUUUUAGAAGACAUCUGAAGGCAGUCCUGUUUAGGGAAGCUUUUAAUGUUUGAUGCAUUACGGUAUUUUAAUAUUUUGUUGGAAGCCGCCCAGAGAGGCUGGGGAGGCUGGGCGGUGUAUUAUUCAUUCAUUCAUUCAUUCAUUCAUUCAUUCAUUCCCUGUCCAUCUGACUGGGUUGCCCCAGCCACUCUGGGCAGCUGCCAACAUAUAUAAAAUAAUUAAACAUUAAAAAGCUUUCCUAUACAGUGGUACCUCGGGUUACAGAUGGGCGGGGUAUAAAUUAUUAUUAUUAUUAUUAUUAUUAUUAUUAUUAUUAUUAUUCACAUACACACAAGUGUAGCUGCCUGGUCUCCUUGUUGCUCACCUCCUUCCACUGGCCAGUUCACCUCCAGAAUGGAAGGAGACCACCCAGUGCUGACAACCACAGCCAUUGGCCCCUGCGUUCUGCCAGGGAAGAGGGAGUGGACCGCCUUUAUAUCAACACAGCUGCCAUGUGCUUUUGUGACAUCACAGGCAGUCCACAGCCAAUGGCAACAGCUGAGGAGGCAUCACCAUAAUCACCUGGUUAAGUCCAGUCAAAGGUGACUAUGGGGUUGCGGCACACAUCUCGCUUUCAGGCUGAGGGAGCCAGAGUUUGUCCACAGACAGCUUUCUAGGUAAUGUGGCCAGCAGGACGAAACUUCUGGCACAACGGGACACCGUGACGGAAACCAGAGUGCAUGGAAAUGCUGUUUACCUUCCUGCCGCAGCAGUACCUAUUUAUCUACUUGCACUGGCGUGCUUUCAAGCAGCUAGGUUGGCAGGAGCUGGAACAGAGCAAUGGGAGCUCACCGCAUUGCGGGGAUUCGAACCGCCAACCUUCUGAUCGGCAGGCCCAAGAGGCUCAGUGGUUUAGACCACAUUAUCAUGUUAAGUGUCCGUGUUAAGUGUAUUGGUACCAAGGAAGGACACACUAUAUUUUGGAAGGAGUAUUUUUCAGCCCAGUGGCUGCAUUCCUUUGUGUCCUCAUGAGAAGCAGCAUGACUUUCUCCCAAUAUGCACAUUUGUAUAUGUCAUAUCCAGGGCCAUGUUAAGCAUAUCCGGUUCAAUGGCGCCCCCCCCCCCCCCGUUUCCCAGAGUUAUCAACCAUUUCCCAAGCCUCUGCAGUGGAUAGCUCUCCUCCCGUGGAGGCUUGGGAGGCAAGCUGCAUGCCCACCAGCCAUAUGGUUGAUGGAGUGCAGCUGGCGGGCAUGCAGGAGGGAAAGGGGAGGCUGCCAGCAUAGCCGCGCAGCUCCCCCACUCACUGGGGCGCCCCUGAGAGGCCGGCGCCCUGGAGCAACGCGCUAGUAAACCCUAUGGGAAAGACAGCUCUGGUCAUAUCACAGCAAAGCAAUUUCCAUCUUGGGUGAUUUUUUAAGAAUUAUAUGCAGUUUUAUGCACGCUAUACCUCCGCAUAUGCAUCUUUGGGGUAGCUCAGUCAGUAGAGAUGGAGACUCCUUGUCUCAGGGUCAAGCUCCACAUUGGGCGAAUGAUCACUGCAUUGCAGGGGUUUGGACUAGAUGAGUCUUGUCGUCCCUUCCAACUCUAUAAUUCUUUGAUUUCUUGGCCGGAUAGCUGCAUCGCAAAAUUCAGGGAAGUGCAAAUUUUGAAGGAUGGUUGUGUUUCAGUCUGAGCAUUGUUCCCGGCAGCGUAAAUUAUGUAGGUUCACCUUUAAACGUGAACUGAAUUGAGUUCCUCCCCCAUCCCUACCAACAAUAAAGAUCUCUUGGCCACUUUGCAGUGGUUACUUACAUAUCAGGUUAGUGUCAUUCCCGCUGCCUUGCCUUUCCAGAUCCAAACAGGAAUGUUUAUUGUUCUGCCUCUCAAGAGCAGAGCUAAGGGCAGCUAAAAAUACCCUCUGAUUUCUUUCUAUAUUUAUGUGAUGUUGUUUACACGGGCUCUUACAAGCAGGAACUGGCAAAUGGUUGCAAGAGGGAGGUGUGGAGAGGCUCCAAAUAAAGGCCAGUUUGAGCUUGCCUUCCCGCACAGAGAAGAUAGCAGAGUGCGUUGAAAUAUAUGCAGCGAGGGCAUAUUGUCAACACACAACAGGCCUGGGUUUCUGGCAGUUCAUGUCCAUUUCUUUAAAAGUAUACAAGGACUCAAUGCAGGCAAAAGCAAAGUCGUGCUUGUGACCUUCCCGCAUUUUGAGCACCAAUCAAAAAUUCUUGCAUCGGCGGUAUAAUUGCAGCCCAAAGAUUGAUCACACAUUAGCAGUUAGGUAUCUAGGUACUUUCCCAGUAGUGAUGUAUGGAAGUGAGAGCUGGACCAUAAAGAAGGCUGAUUGCCGAAGAAUUGAUGCUUUUGAAUUAUGGUGCUGGAGGAGACUCUUGAGAGUCCCAUGGACUGCAAGAAGAUCAAACCUCUCCAUUCUGAAGGAAAUCAGCCCUCAGUGCUCACUGGAAGGACAGAUCGUGAAGCUGAGGCUCCAGCACUUUGGCCACCUCAUGAGAAGAGAAGACUCCCUGGAAAAGACCCUGAUGUUGGGAAAGAUGGAGGGCACAAGGAGAAGGGGACGACAGAGGACGAGAUGGUGGGACAGUGUUCUCGAAGCUACCAGCAUGAGUUUGACCAAACUGCGGGAGGCAGUGGAAGACAGGAGUGCCUAGCGUCCUCUGGUCCAGGGGGUCACGAAGAGUCGGACACAACUAAACAACUAUCUAUGCAAAUGGGAUGCAGGUGGCGCUGUGGGUUAAACCACAGAGCCUAGGACUUGCCGAUCAGAAGGUCGGCGGUUCGAAUCUCCGCGACGGGAUGAGCUCCCAUUGCUCGGACCCUGCUCCUGCCAACCUAGCAGUUCGAAAGCACGUCAAAGUGCAAGUAGAUAAAUAGGUACCGCUCCGGUUCGCCAGAAGUGGCUUAGUCAUCUGGCCACAUGACCCGGAAGCUGUACGCUGGCUCCCUCAGCCAAUAAAGCAAGAUGAGCGCCGCAACGCCAGAGUCGGUCACGACUGGACCUAAUGGUCAGGGGUCCCUUUACCUAUCUAUGCAAAGCGCAGGUGUCAAUCAGAAAUGAAAUAUCAUGAUUUUGAGUGAGGAUAGAUUAUGUGUGCUGUGGGAAAAGUGGAGGGAGAAAUGUUCCCUUAAUAGAAGAAUUUGGGGCAUCCAAUGAAGGUGAACAACGCUGGAAGAUUUAGGGUAAUGAAAGAGAGUGCUUUUCCACACAGCACAUAGUUAAACGAUGGCAUUCGCUCCCACCAAUGUGGAGGACUUGAAAAGAGGAUUAGACAAAUUCAUGGAGGACAAGUUGAUGAAUGCCUACUAGCCGGGAUGGAAAUGUUCUGCUUCCAGUGCAUACCUUCCAACAUUCCUCAGAUGAAAACAGGGAUAUGCCUCACUCCCCACCAAGUUUUGUCUUCCACCCUUGCAGAACAUUUCUUAUCCAAAGAAGGGACACAGCACACAAACUCUUCACCUCUGCUCUUUGGUAGAUUUACGAAAAGAAAAACACACACCAAUACAUAAAUUUUAGAACGGGGCAAGAUUAGAUGCACAUAUUGUAGUAGGGUUAAAGACUACUGGGAAAUGAUAUGCAAUGAAUUGAAAAGACUGUUCAAAAUAACUUUAAUUUUAAAAAAACCCAGAAGAUUUUCUUUUGGGAAUUAUAGGGACAGAACUACCAAAAUUGUAUAGAAAUUUAUUUAUGUGUGCUUCUACAGAAGCAAGAAUGUUACUUGCCCCAAAGAAGAAUGGCAACUUAAGUUGACAGAAUAUGUGUAGCUUGCAGACUUAACAUACAGAAUAAGAGAACAAGAACAUACGUUUAGAGAAGAUUGGAAAACGUUUAUUGAAUAUAUGGGAAAUAACUUUAUACAGCUGAAAAUGCUGGCAGCAUUAAGAUAAAUCCAACAGUGUAAAUAGGUUUUGACAGAUGUAAUAAUGGAAUACUUAAUGGCAUAGUUUCUGUAAAAUACGCAGGGAUUUAUGAUAUGUAAAAUGAACCAUAGAAAGAGAAGAAGGGGAGUCAUUGAUAUCUUAUGCAAAAAUGAGGUUAUUGAGUUGUCCCACCCUCCAUAUUCUCCCCAUCUGGUCCCACCGGAUUUCUUUCUUUUUCCAAAACUGAAAUCUGCACUGAAAGGGCACAGAUUUUCCAACAUUUCACACUUCCAAGCUGCUGUGACGAGGGAACGGAAAGCAGUACGAAAAAAGGACUUCUCCAGCAGUUUCUAACAGUCCUACGAAUGUUGUCAACGGUGCAUUGUAUCAGAGGGGGCCUACUUUGAAGGCCUGUAAGGUACGUAUGUUCGAAUAUUUCUCUCUGUCCGAUUUCUGUGGCCAUUCACCGAACUUUCCGGCCACACCUUGUACGAACGCAUUAGUGACAAUAACACAUAAGACUGAAUUGGAUUGGGGGAAUUGCGACAAAAAUAAAAAUGUGUCCUUUGCAAAAUGCACAUCAUUUGCACAUGUAUAUUAUAUGAAAUGCAGAGGAAAUGCAUGUGAUUUGUUUUUUUUUAGGAGAACAUAUUUUUUUUCAUUAAAAAAUCGCAAACUGAUGUGGUGGAAAUGUGGUAAAAUGAAUUCAAGUUUGGAAAGCUGCAAAACGGAGAGAAAUCGAAAGGGACAGGUCCGUUUCUCUUUGUGUGGGAAUUUCCUUUGAUUCUCCCCUUUGCAGGCUGCAGAACCUGCUGCCUCCAAUUUCGCCUCCUCUUGCAAAACCCAUCAUCAUCAUCAACUCGUCCUCUCCCGCAGAACGUGCAACAUGAUCGCAGUAAUCUCUUGCUCUCUCCCUGUACCCUUUCGAGUUCUGUUAUAAUCUUUCUGUGCGCGAAACAACCUCUGAUUUAUACCAGCACCGGAGCCCUGAAGCCUUUCUCUCCCCCCCACCCCCCCUUUUAAUUCUGCACCUGCAUUGUGCGGCUAAAGGCUUCGGGGAUUGCAAUAACUCUCCCCAAUCUCUUUCCCAGGCAGUGCGGUGCGCAGCUCAAUCCCACUUUAGGUGAGAUUUCCUCUUCUGCUCCUUAACAAAAAAUAAAUAAAAAUGGCUUCGAGUGAUGUUAGAAGCCAUCAGUUAGCCAGAUGCUGAAAUGAAUAGGUUGGAAAUCCUACCAAAAUGUUUGUGAUACGCUCUGUCUCUUUGCUUAGCACAUGCAAUAGUGGAAUCUUUGCUUUCAUGCCUAUUAACCACGUACCGUAUUUUUUGCUCUAUAAGACUCACUUUUUCCCUCCUAAAAAGUAAGGGGAAAUGUGUGUGCGCCUUAUGGAGCGAAUGCAGGCUGCACAGCUAUCCCAGAAGCCAGAACAGGAAGAGGGAUUGCUGCUUUCACUGCGCAGCGAUCCCUCUUGCUGUUCUGGCUUCUGAGAUUCAGAAUAUUUUUUUCCUUGUUUUCCUCAUCCAAAAACUAGGUGCGUCUUGUGGUCUGGUGCAUCUUAUAGAGCGAAAAAUACGGUAAUUUCUGCUUCAGCUUGAAGCAGGUGACGCAGCCGGCUGCACUUCCAUACCAGUCAUAGAUGAGUUGGAAGGGGUAGGGUUGCUGGAAUUUCCUGGACAUAUACAGAAUACCGUAGUCAGCAGCAGUGUCCAGGCAGAAAUCAGGAAAACCGUCCGGGGAAAUCUGGCAUCCCAUGUAUGGCAACCCAUGUUGUCAGUGUUGCCUUUGCCGAUUUGCCAUAAAAUUGCGAAUUUACAAAAAACAACAACCCAGCAACUUUGAGCAAAACUUUUUUAAAAAGCUCAACUGCUGUCCAGAGUCCAGUCCCCGGCUUGAUAACACAGUGAGCGUAGUUAAUUAAAAAGGAUGGUUUAUUGUGAAAAUAAACAGAUAGCUCUGGGCGGCUUUACACAGCCUUCUCCACUACAGUGGUACCUCAGGUUAAGUACUUAAUUCAUUCCGGAGGUCCGUACUUAACCUGAAACUGUUCUUAACCUGAAGCACCACUUUAGCUAAUGGGGCCUCCUGCUGCCGCUGCACCGCCAGAGCACAAUUUCUGUUCUCAUCCUGAAGCAAAGUUCUUAACCUGAAGCACUAUUUCUGGGUUAGCGGAGUCUGUAACCUGAAGAAGAAGAAGAAGAAGAAGAAGAAGAAGAAGAAGAAGAAGAAGAAGAAGAGGAGGAGGAGGAGGAGGAGGAGGAGUUUGGAUUUGAUAUCCCGCUUUAUCACUACCCAAAGGAGUCUCAAAGCGGCUAACAUUCUCCUUUCCCUUCCUCCCCCACAACAAACACUUUGUGAGGUGAGUGGGGCUGAGAGACUUCAAAGAAGUGUGACUGGCCCAAGGUCACCCAGCAGCUGCAUGUGGAGGAGCGGCGACGUGAACCCGAUUGAGGCCGGUUCACCAGAUUACGAGACUACCACUCUUAACCACUACACCACACUGGCACUCUGAAGCGUAUGUAACCUGAAGCGCUUGUAACCUGAGGUACCACUGUAUCAAUUAAGAUGGCCCUUCUGAAGACUGCUUCCGGCAAGACCAGAAGUAAUGGAACUUUUGCUUCAUACUUCUUUUGUUUUGCUUCCUAUCUUGCAGCCCUCCUAUUCAUCGAGACCUUGGACUGAGUGGGUCAGCUCCCUCCUCUUCCCCAUUCUCUGAGAGGCUGUCUCUUAACUCUUUCCCGUAACCAAACAAUUUAACCCCUGUGUAGCAAAGAAUAGUCAGUAAUAUCCAAGGCAACACGAUGACCAAAUACAAUGAUAUGAUAUCAAUAUACACUCUUUAUAUAAUAUGAAAGUCAGCAGUGACUACAUAACUUUAUGACCACUGCUCCAUAGCAAUUGUUAUUAGACUUUUCCGUUCACCAUAUAGAUGGGUUUAUGAAGCCUUUCUGUAUCCUUCUGCUGUGCUGAAGAAGAAUUCCACGAAAAGGUGGGUAUAUCCGGAAUCGCUGUUCACAACGUCUGUUUGCGAACUACUUGCGAACUACUAAGUCAUGUCAGACUAACCUGAUCUCGUUUUUUGACAGAAUUACAAGCCUGGUGGAUGAAGGGAACGCAGUGGAUGUAGCCUACCUUGAUUUCAGCAAGGCAUUUGACAAGGUGCCCCAUGAUAUUCUUGUAAAGAAGCUGGUAAAAUGCGGUCUUGACUAUGCUACCACUCAGUGGAUUUGUAACUGGCUGACUGACCGAACCCAAAGGGUGCUCAUCAAUGGUUCCUCUUCAUCCUGGAGAAGAGUGACUAGUGGGGUGCCACAGGGUUCUGUCUUGGGCCCGGUCUUAUUCAACAUCUUUAUCAACGACUUGGGUGAUGGACUCAAGGGCAUCCUGAUCAAAUUUGCAGAUGACACCAAAUUGGGAGGGGUGGCUAACACCCCAGAGGACAGGAUCACACUUCAAAACGACCUUGACAGAUUAGAGAACUGGGCCAAAACAAACAAGAUGAAUUUUAACAGGGAGAAAUGUAAAGUAUUGCACUUGGGCAAAAAAAUGAGAGGCACAAAUACAAGAUGGGGGACACCUGGCUUGAGAGCAGUACAUGUGAAAAGGAUCUAGGAGUCUUGGUUGACCACAAACUUCACAUGAGCCAACAGUGUGACGCGGCAGCUAAAAAGCCAAUGCAAUUCUGGGCUGCAUCAAUAGGAGUAUAGCAUCUAGAUCAAGGGAAGUAAUAGUGCCACUGUAUUCUGCUCUGGUCAGACCUCACCUGGAGUACUGUGUCCAGUUCUGGGCACCACACUUCAAGAAGGACAUUGACAAACUGGAACGUGUCCAGAGGAGGGCAACCAAAAUGGUCAAAGGCCUGGAAACGAUGCCUUAUGAGGAACGGCUAAGAGAGCUGGGCAUGUUUAGCCUGGAGAAGAGGAGGUUAAGGGGUGAUAUGAUAGCCAUGUUCAAAUAUAUAAAAGGAUGUCACAUAGAGGAGGGAGAAAGGUUGUUUUCUGCUGCUCCAGAGAAGCGGACACGGAGCAAUGGAUCCAAACUACAAGAAAGAAGAUUCCACCUAAACAUUAGGAAGAACUUCCUGACAGUAAGAGCUGUUCGACAGUGGAAUUUGCUGCCAAGGAGUGUGGUGGAGUCUCCUUCUUUGGAGGUCUUUAAGCAGAGGCUUGACAACCAUAUGUCAGGAGUGCUCUGAUGGUGUUUCCUGCUUGGCAGGGGGUUGGACUCGAUGGCCCUUGUGGUCUCUUCCAACUCUAUGAUUCUAUGAUUCUAUGAUUCUAUGAUUCUACUUUGGCAGCGUUGGACGCCAUAAGCAAAGCUUUACAGCCUGUUUUCACCAGAUAAGAAUCUGAUAAAUUGCUUCUUUCAGAGACUUGCAUAGUCUUCAAAGACUUUCAGAGUGUAUAUUGAUAUUGUAUCAUUGUAUGUGGUCAUCGUGUUGCCUUGGAUAUUACUGACCAUUCUUAACUCUUUCCCGCCUGUUUGCGCUUCCAACGAGCUUUGACUGUGUUCUAGUUUGCUCUCAGCCAUUCCCUUAUCAGCUGACAUUCCAAGGGGUGGGGGAAUUGGCACUAGCUGGUGCUCAUCCUGAAUGGCAAUUAACCCUCUUUGUUCCUGGCUGCUUUCUUCAGUUGGCAGCAACCCUUGCCUGGGAGCUGGAUCAUUCAUGGCAACCACUUUUCUGUCUGGAUUUUCACUGCUCGAAAUAUGCCAACCCUACCCAAGAGUCAUCUAGUCCAACCCUCUGCAAUGCAGGAAUCUCAGCUAAAGCAUCCAUGACAGAUGGCCAUCCAGCUUCUGCUUAAAAACCUCCAAGGAAGGAGAGUCCAUCACCUCCUGAGGGAGUCUGUCAAAAAGCUCCCGCUGUCAGAAAGUUCUUCCUGACGUUGAGUUGGAAUCUCUUUUCUUGUAACUUGAAGCCAUUGGUUCGAAUCCUACCCUCCAGAGCAGGAGAAAACAAGCUUGCUCCGUCUUCCAUGUAACAGCCCUUGAGAUAUUUGAAGAUGGCUCUCGUAUCUCCUCUCAGUCUCCUCUUCUCCAGGCUAAACACACCCAGCUCCUUCGACCUUUCCUCAUAAGGCUUGGUUUCCAGACCUGGAUCAUCUUGGUUGCCAUCCUCUGCACGCGUAGCCAUUUAGGAUGCAUUCAGAUGCAUUAGUUUUUCCUGAUUACAAUGCUAACACCUCUGUUCAGUUUUCUGCUCCAUGGAUUUCCUCAUAGCCCUUUCUACCAUGAAGGUAUCCAAUCUGAUUUAGCCAUCCGAUUUGGUUGCAAUCUCCGCCCCCCGCAGAAGCACGUUCCAUACUUAUACUUUGUGCUGUGUGAAGAAAGGCUUUCUUUAUCUGUCCUGAAUCUUCCAACACCCGUCGAUUUCUAGUGUUGCGAGACAAGGAGGAAAACUUUUCUCUACCAUAAAUAAUUUUAUAAACCUCUAUUGUAUCACCGCUGGCUCACCUUUCCUCUAAAGUCUCAAAUGCUGCGGCUGUUCUUCAUACGGCAGUUGCUCCAUCCCCUUGAUCAUUUUGGUUUUACUUUUCCAAACAUUUCCCAACUUUGCAAUAUCCUUUUUGAGGUGAGGCGAUGCCAACCGCAAAGAGUAUUCGAAAAGCGGUCUCGUCAUAGAUUUCUACAACAGUAUUACGACGCCAGCAGUUUUAUUUUCGAUUCCCUUCCUCGUAAUCCUUAGCACGGAAUUUGCCUUUUUCUGCCAAACACAGGUUCGACCUCUUCCCCAAGCCAUUUACUAUAGCGGAAGACCAUUUAUUUCAAUGGGCCUACUCUGAGUAUGGUUUUAUUGGAGUUCACCGUACUCCACCGUACUCCACCGUACUUGGAUAGGCUGAAUUAGACAGCCUAUCCGAAAAAUUAAAAAACAAACCAAGGAAAGAAUUUAUUUCAAAAUGGGAAGCAUUUAAAAUAUAUUUGAAAAUUAAUAAUGCUGAUUUAAAAUCUGUAGAGGCAUUUGAAUAAUACCAGCAAUAUCAUUCACUAGUUAUAUGAUAUAACAAACAGUCAUACCUUGGGUUACAGACACUUCGGGUUGCGCAAUUUCGGGUUGCGCACCGCGCCAAACCCGGAAGUACUGGAACUGGUUACUUCCGGGUUUCAGCACUUGCACAGAAGCGCUAAAUCGCACUUUGUGCAUGUGCAGAAGCACCGAAUCACAAUCCACACGUGCACACAUGCGGCGCUGCGGGUUGCGAACUCUGUGAGUUGCAAAUGUGCUUCCCGCAUGGAUCACGUUCGCAACCCAAGCGUCCACUGUAUUCUGAAGUGAUUUGAGAUGAUAGCAAUAACAUGUAUUGGCAGCAAAGAAUGGCAAUUAGAUUUAUGGAGUACAGUGGUACCUCGGGUUAAGUACUUAAUUUGUUCCGGAGGUCCAUUCUUAACCUGAAACUGUUCUUAACCUGAAGCACCACUUUAGCUAAUAGGGUCUUCCGCUGCCGCUGCGCCGCCGGAGCACGAUUUCUGUUCUCAUCCUGAAGCAAAGUUCUUAACCUGAAGCACUAUUUCUGGGUUAGCGGAGUCUGUAACCUGAAGUGUAUGUAACCCGAGGUACCACUGUAGAUGAGAAGUCGGAUUUAAAAGGAAGAGACCAUUACAGUUUAUGGAUUAUGAAAUUUAUAUUAAUUCUUUAUGUAAUGUGCGACUGAGGAUAUUCUUAAUGUGGUGUAAUUUGUCUUUUUGUUGUUGUUAUGUGUUGAGCAAAUAAAAUAUUAUUUUUUAAAAAAGAAGGAUAUAUAAGAGCCAAGGAAAUGUAAUCUCUUCUGCGCCCCUUCGCCUUCUGCAAAUGGAAGUGCAUUUUGCAGGGAGAGAGUCGUUUUUGGUAGAAGAGAGUUCAAAAUGGAUAAGGGAGGAAAUAACCAUCUAUGCUGGCAGAGGACCAGAAAAUUCCUUGGGCUUCCUGGAAGCCAUUAACACCCUCUUCCAUAUGCUAUCUCUUGACAUUCCAGCUCUGGCUUUUACUGAGGUGGCCACAAGACAACAGCUGCAUGUCCAUCCAGCUGUCUUCCAGGUCGGGUAAUGUUCGCACCCUUUUAUGUGGUGCUGCAGUGCAGACGCUUGGAACUUUUCAUGCCUCGCAAGCAGAGCCUUCAACAUCGACUUCCGUAACAUCCUGGUAUCAAAAUGAGAACUAAACUAAAUGUCUCCGUGCUCUUCCAGUUUUGCCCUGAACUGUGGCGGAGCUUCAAGUUUAAGCCAUGGCCAAGUCCAAGAACAAGGCUUGGGGCUAAGACUCGGUUUGCCGCCAGGCAAAGAUGUGAUAUGGAUGGCACGGAGAGGGAUGUGAUGCGCCGAGUUCAUGGCGAUCAUUAAGAACAGAGCGGCGAUCGAGGGCCCUCCAGACGCUUUGGUGAUACAGCUCUGCGAAAACGAUCUUGCUUAUCGUAAAACCAUCGAUAUGCAAUGGAAUAUAUUCAGUGACUUUGAGGAACUACUCACUUCUUACCCCAGCACUAGCAUUCUGUGGUCUUCCUUACUAGAAAGGCGCACGUGGAGAGAUUGUCGCUCCCCUGCUGCGGUGAAUAGAGCCCGAAAGAUCUUGCAAAGUACUGUGCCAGUGUGGUGUAGUGGUUAAGAGCGGUAGUCUCAUAAUCUGGGGAACCGGGUUCGAGUCUCCACUCCUCCACAUGCAGCUGCUGGGUGACCUUGGGCCAGUCACACUUCUUUGAAGUCUCUCAGCCCCACUCACCUCACAGAGUGUUUGUUGUGGGGGAGGAAGGGAAAGGAGAAUGUUAGCCGCUUUGAGA